This 460-nucleotide ribosomal RNA is filed under the name uncultured bacterium. RNAcentral's name for it is "partial 16S ribosomal RNA". It matches the Rfam family "Bacterial small subunit ribosomal RNA", at positions 338 to 795 of the family's 1533-position model. The record is from RNAcentral.
CCUACGGGAGGCAGCAGUGAGGAAUAUUGGUCAAUGGACGAGAGUCUGAACCAGCCAAAUAGCGUGAAGGAUGACUGCCCUAUGGGUUGUAAACUUCUUUUAUAUGGGAAUAAAAUGUUCCACGUGUGGGAUUUUGUAUGUACCAUAUGAAUAAGGAUCGGCUAACUCCGUGACAGCAGGCGCGGUAAUACGGAGGAUCCGAGCGUUAUCCGGAUUUAUUGGGUUUAAUGGGAGUGUUUGGGGAUUUUUUAGUCAGGUGUUAAAGUUUGUGGCUCAACCGUAAAAUUGCAGUUGAAACUGGCAGUCUUGAGUACAGUAGAGGUGGGCGGAAUUCGUGGUGUAGCGGUGAAAUGCUUAGAUAUCACGAAGAACUCCGAUUGCGAAGGCAGUUCACUGGACUGAAACUGACACUGAGGCUCGAAAGUGUGGGUAGCAAACAGGAUUAGAUACCCGUGUAGUC